RNAcentral lists this long non-coding RNA (289 nucleotides) under Homo sapiens (human). Its description in RNAcentral is "LHRI_LNC688.1". The record is from RNAcentral. Lineage: Eukaryota; Metazoa; Chordata; Mammalia; Primates; Hominidae.
GAUUCUUGAGUACUACUACAAAUACAGCCUUCACCUACAGUAAAAAUUAAGCCAAUUUCAAUCAUUUUGGUCAUCAUCCCAGUCUUUCUUCCCACUUGGAGGCUUGGGCCCACCAGCUGGUUUUGCCAUGAUGAUCUGCAUAAAAAAGAAUCACACAAGAGUAUGCUUAUCAACUUAACCUUUAGAAUGAAAAGAAUGCUUCUAUUAGCAUGAUUUAAGAUUAAGCAGUCUUCUUGGUAUAAUUAUGUACUGCAUAUAAAACACUACAGCACAGAGUUUGCUAGCUCCC